CUCCGUAGGUGAACCUGCGGAGGGAUCAUUACCGAGUUAUCCAACUCCCAACCCCUGUGAAUUAUACCUUUAAUUGUUGCUUCGGCGGGACUUCGCGCCCGCCGGGGACCCAAACCUUCUGAAUUUUUUAAUAAGUAUCUUCUGAGUGGUUAAAAAAAAAUGAAUCAAAACUUUCAACAACGGAUCUCUUGGUUCUGGCAUCGAUGAAGAACGCAGCGAAAUGCGAUAAGUAAUGUGAAUUGCAGAAUUCAGUGAAUCAUCGAAUCUUUGAACGCACAUUGCGCCCGUCAGUAUUCUGGCGGGCAUGCCUGUUCGAGCGUCAUUACGCCCCUCAAGUCCCCUGUGGACUUGGUGUUGGGGAUCGGCGAGGCUGGUUUUCCAGCACAGCCGUCCCUUAAAUUAAUUGGCGGUCUCGCCGUGGCCCUCCUCUGCGCAGUAGUAAAACACUCGCAACAGGAGCCCGGCGCGGUCCACUGCCGUAAAACCCCCCAACUUUUUAUAGUUGACCUCGAAUCAGGUAGGACUACCCGCUGAACUUAAGCAUAUCAAUAAGCGGAGGAA
This 561-nucleotide ribosomal RNA is filed under the name Metarhizium anisopliae. RNAcentral describes it as "eukaryotic LSU rRNA". The stretch from base 169 to 322 matches the Rfam family "5.8S ribosomal RNA". Lineage: Eukaryota; Fungi; Ascomycota; Sordariomycetes; Hypocreales; Clavicipitaceae. The record is from RNAcentral.